RNAcentral lists this ribosomal RNA (253 nucleotides) under uncultured bacterium. RNAcentral describes it as "partial 16S ribosomal RNA". It matches the Rfam family "Bacterial small subunit ribosomal RNA", at positions 524 to 776 of the family's 1533-position model. The record is from RNAcentral.
UACAGAGGUGGCAAGCGUUGUUCGGAAUUACUGGGCGUAAAGGGCGCGUAGGCGGUUCGAUAAGUCAGCUGUGAAAACCAUGGGCUUAACUCAUGGCCUGCAGUUGAGACUGUCGGGCUGGAGUGUGGGAGAGGAGAGUGGAAUUCCUGGUGUAGCGGUGAAAUGCGUAGAUAUCAGGAGGAACACCGGUGGCGAAGGCGCCCACCUGGCCUGCUACUGACGCUGAAGCUCGAAAGCUAGGGGAGCAAACGGG